UACGUAGGGGGCUAGCGUUGCUCGGAAUGACUGGGCGUAAAGGGCGCGUAGGCGGAGUGCUUUGUCGGGCGUGAAAUUCCAGGGCUCAACCUUGGGGCUGCGUUCGAGACGGGCAUUCUAGAGUGGAGAAGAGGGUCGUGGAAUUCCCAGUGUAGAGGUGAAAUUCGUAGAUAUUGGGAAGAACACCGGUGGCGAAGGCGGCGACCUGGUCUUUUACUGACGCUGAGGCGCGAAAGCGUGGGGAGCAAACAGG
This 253-nucleotide ribosomal RNA is filed under the name uncultured bacterium. RNAcentral's name for it is "partial 16S ribosomal RNA". It matches the Rfam family "Bacterial small subunit ribosomal RNA", at positions 524 to 776 of the family's 1533-position model. The record is from RNAcentral.